RNAcentral lists this ribosomal RNA (315 nucleotides) under uncultured bacterium. RNAcentral describes it as "bacterial SSU rRNA". It matches the Rfam family "Bacterial small subunit ribosomal RNA", at positions 197 to 509 of the family's 1533-position model. The record is from RNAcentral.
UACUUGUAAGCUAUCGCUUUGCGAUGGGUCUGCGUCUGAUUAGCUAGUUGUGGGGUAACGGCCUACCAAGGCGACGAUCAGUAGCCGGUCUGAGAGGAUGAACGGCCACAUUGGAACUGAGACACGGUCCAGACUCCUACGGGAGGCAGCAGUGGGGAAUCUUCCGCAAUGGGCGAAAGCCUGACGGAGCAACGCCGCGUGAGUGAAGAAGGGUUUCGGCUCGUAAAGCUCUGUUGACGGGGACGAAUGUGCGAAAUGCGAAUAGUUUUUCGCAAUGACGGUACCCGUCGAGGAAGCCACGGCUAACUACGUGCC